This 253-nucleotide ribosomal RNA is filed under the name uncultured bacterium. Its description in RNAcentral is "partial 16S ribosomal RNA". It matches the Rfam family "Bacterial small subunit ribosomal RNA", at positions 524 to 776 of the family's 1533-position model. The record is from RNAcentral.
UACGAAGGGGGCUAGCGUUGCUCGGAAUCACUGGGCGUAAAGCGCACGUAGGCGGAUUGUUAAGUCAGGGGUGAAAUCCUGGAGCUCAACUCCAGAACUGCCUUUGAUACUGGCGAUCUUGAGUCCGGGAGAGGUGAGUGGAACUGGAGGUGUAGCGGUGGAAUGCGUAGAGAUCUCCAAGAACACCAGUUGCGAAGGCGGCUGACUGGACCCAUAUUGACGCUGAGGCUCGAAAGCAUGGGGAGCAAACAGG